UCCUGUAGUUCAGAUGGUAAAGAAUCUGCCUGCAAUGCAGGAGACCCAGGUUCAAUCCCUGGGUCAGGAA
Molecule: transfer RNA, 70 nt
Filed under: Bos taurus (domestic cattle)
Lineage: Eukaryota; Metazoa; Chordata; Mammalia; Artiodactyla; Bovidae
Also listed under: 1 other name
Rfam family: tRNA
About the family: Transfer RNA (tRNA) molecules are approximately 80 nucleotides in length. Their secondary structure includes four short double-helical elements and three loops (D, anti-codon, and T loops).
Source: Rfam by way of RNAcentral